This 331-nucleotide unclassified non-coding RNA is filed under the name soil metagenome. RNAcentral's name for it is "partial contains 5.8S ribosomal RNA, internal transcribed spacer 2, and large subunit ribosomal RNA". The stretch from base 1 to 120 matches the Rfam family "5.8S ribosomal RNA", at positions 35 to 154 of the family's 154-position model. The record is from RNAcentral.
GAUGAAGAACGUAGCGAAAUGCGAUAAGUAAUGUGAAUUGCAGAAUUCAGUGAAUCAUCGAAUCUUUGAACGCACAUUGCGCCCAUUAGUAUUCUAGUGGGCAUGCCUGUUCGAGCGUCAUUUCAACCCUUAAGCUUAGCUUAGUGUUGGGAGACUGCCUAACCGCAGCUCCUCAAAUACAGUUGGCAGAGUGUAUGUGUGCUCUGAGCGUAGUAAUUUAUUCUCGCUUCUGAAAACUAUAUACUGUAGCCACAACCUAUUAUUUUUUAAUGGUUGACCUCGGAUCAGGUAGGAAUACCCGCUGAACUUAAGCAUAUCAAUAAGCGGAGGA